UUAAAAGAAUAGGUUGUGUACUAAAGUUUGUGUUGUGUGUGGCGUGUAAAUGUCAUUCUUACCGUGGAAGGUUGGAGAAUGGUAAGUAACAUAUCGAUUCUGUCAGAGGAGAAAUAAGAAGCGUCAGCCUUUGCAACAUAAGGCUCUCGCUUAUCACCUUCAUGGACAGAAAAUACUUAGCUCUCUCUCAACCUGCGGUUUACACCUGACAUGCGUUAGUACUGUCUGGGUGAAGGGGAAAAGGACAAGAUGGAGGAAGGUGAACAGAAAAGACGCACCCCUUACUACUUCCGGGUUCUUCAUCAUCCAAUUUACCCGCGGGCCUGAAAAUGCAGCCCCCAGGGAAAAAAGCAGACCAACUGAGCAGGCGCCAUGUGACGUCAAUUUGAGGAAACGGAAACUUACUACGGAGACGCCCCUGGCACGCCCUUAUCCCACCCACUGCCCUCCCAUUUCCAAGCCCAGGACAUAAAAGUCGCCGUAGGCAGGCGCCAGCGCGAACUUCCCCGGCCCCAUUGCUUGUGGACCUCGCCCAAGAGCCCUGACCCGUUGGUCAAUAAAGUUCUUUCUUUCCUACCA
Molecule: long non-coding RNA, 579 nt
Organism: Macaca mulatta (Rhesus monkey)
Lineage: Eukaryota; Metazoa; Chordata; Mammalia; Primates; Cercopithecidae
Source: RefSeq, a predicted model, not a curated record